This is an RNA transcript of Eucalyptus grandis, 2235 nucleotides long. It is a transcript of the gene named glucose-6-phosphate isomerase 1, chloroplastic, with no coding region annotated. The record is from RefSeq and is a predicted model, not a curated record. The transcript has 12 exons. NCBI's taxonomy places the organism in Eukaryota, Viridiplantae, Streptophyta, Magnoliopsida, Myrtales, Myrtaceae.
CUCCGCCUCCCCAAAAGCCUCGCCGCCAUCUGCCUCUGGCACGUCGCCUCGUCCAAGAGCGCCGCCAGUCGCAGCUGGUCCCAACCCCCUCCACCUCCGAUCGUUUCCAACGCGGAGAUCGAGCAGAAGUUUUGUGCUCGCGUUGGUCUCUCGGCAGCUUCUGGACCUCCGUCCGAUUGCGUCCCUCUGACGAACUCGUCAUCAGCUUCGACUCCGUGCCGCCGCCGCCGAUGGCGUCCUCCGUCUCUGGCAUCUGCUCGUCCUCCCCGUCCCUCAGGCCGAAGACGCCGCCGGCCUCCGCCGCGAAGCCGUCGGCCUUCGGCCCGAGGGAGACAGCCUCGCCUCGUUCCCCAGCGAGCGCUGUCCCUGACGCUGGCCCGCUCGGUCGCGGGGGAGAUCUCAGCGGACCUGGGCAGGGCGGACGGCGCGGCAAAGAAGGAGAGGCGCAGGCUGGAGAAGGAUUCCCGCUCGCUGUGGAGGAGGUACAUGGACUGGCUGUACGAGCACCGAGAGCUAGGGCUUUUCCUGGACGUGAGCCAUAUUGGGUUCACGGACGAGUUUGUGGAGGAGAUGGAGCCCUGGUUCCAGGCCGCGUUCUAGGUGAUGGAGGAGUUGGCGCGAUCGCCAACCUGGACGAGGGCCGCAUGGUCGGGCACUACUGGUUGAGGAAUUCGGAGCUUGCGCCGACUUGGUUCCUGAAGGCGCAGAUUGAGAGCACGCUCGAUGUCGUCUGCAAUUUUGCUACCCGCGGUAAGGUCAGUUCUGAAAUUCCGGUUGUUGUUGCUCUCCGUGUGGUAAGAGAGGCUGUAGUUCCCUGCGUUUUUUUUUUUUUUUUUUUUUUGAAUCGGUUUGCUGUCAUAGUUGCUUACGGUUCUCCUCCAUUAUCUGGAGCAAGUAUUAGAUUCAUUAACACAUAUCCGGCUGGAAUUUACCAUUAAAUUGCGCAGCUUGGUCCUGAGCUGGCUUCUACCCUAGUGGUUGUGAUAUCAAAGAGUGGUGGUACUCCUGAAACCAGAAAUGGCUUAUUGGAAGUACAGAAGGCCUUUUGUGAAGCGGGAUUGGAAUUUGCAAAGCAGGGCAUUGCCAUAACAUAAGAGAACUUGUUGUUGGACAAUACUGCGCACAUUGAGGGCUGAUUGGCUAGAUUUCAAAUGUUUGACUGGGUGGGUGGCAGAACAUCUGAAAUGGCUGCAGUUGGUCUACUUCCAGCAGCCCUUCAACGACUCCAACUUCAGGGGAUCAAUAUUAGAGAAAUGCUUGCUGGUGCAUCCUUCAUGGAUGGGGCAACUAGGACGAAAGUGGUGAAGAACAACCCUGCUGCAUUGCUUGCUUUAUGUUGGUAUUGGGCUUCUGAUGGCGUAGGAUCUAAGGACACGGUAAUUCUUCCUUACAAAGACAGCCUUCUGUUAUUCAGUUGGUAUCUGCAACAACUUGAUUUGGAUGGCAAUCAGGUCAAUCAAGGGCUUACUGUUUAUGGGAAUAAAGGAAGCACAGAUCAGCAUGCCUACAAACAACAGCUGAGAGAGGGUGUGCACAACUUCUUCGUAACUUUCAUUGAAGUGCUUUGUGAGAGACCACCUGGUCAUGAUUGGGAGCUUGAACCUAGUGUUACCUGUGGUGACUAUUUGUUUGGAAUGCUUCAAGGAACGGGCUAUGCUCUAUAUGCCUAUGAUCGUGAGUCUAUAACAGUCACUGUUGAAGAAGUGACCCCUAGAUCAGUGGGGGCUCUUAUAGCAUUGUAUGAGCGAGCAGUUGAGAUAUACGCCUCAUUAGUUAAUAUUAAUGCCUAUCAUCAACCUGGUGUCGAAGCUGGGAAAAAGGCAGCAGCAGAAGUAUUUGCUCGUCAAAAACGGGUUCUGGUUGUACUCAAUGAGGCCAGGUAUCUUACUAGAACAAGCUUGUCUAAGAUGGAAACUAUCAGCUCUUAAGGAACGGGGAACACUUAAAGAACUGUUGAGUGGGGUGAUAGAAACAUGGAUAAGAAGAAACGCAAGCUCGUAGGCAUUGCAGAUGAUGGAUAGAAAGAGAUCCGCAUUGAAAGGACAGAUGAAUUUGGCCAAAUAUUAACCCCAAAGGAAGCUUUCCGAUUGCUUUCCUGUAAAUUUCAUGGAAAAGGGCCUGGCAAAAUGAAGCAAGAGAAGUGCAUGAAGCAAUACCAGGAAGAAUUGAAGUUGAAGCAGAUGAAGAAUUCAGACACGCCUUCUUUGUCUGCAGAGAGGAUGAGGGAAGCUCAAG